UUAAGCGACUAAGCGUACACGGUGGAUGCCCUGGCAGUCAGAGGCGAUGAAGGACGUGCUAAUCUGCGAUAAGCGUCGGUGAGGUGAUAUGAACCGUUAUAACCGGCGAUUUCCGAAUGGGGAAACCCAGUGUGUUUCGACACACUAUCAUUAACUGAAUCCAUAGGUUAAUGAGGCGAACCGGGGGAACUGAAACAUCUAAGUACCCCGAGGAAAAGAAAUCAACCGAGAUUCCCCCAGUAGCGGCGAGCGAACGGGGAGGAGCCCAGAGCCUGAAUCAGUGUGUGUGUUAGUGGAAGUGUCUGGAAAGGCGCGCGAUACAGGGUGACAGCCCCGUACACAAAAAUGCACAUGCUGUGAGCUCGAUGAGUAGGGCGGGACACGUGGUAUCCUGUCUGAAUAUGGGGGGACCAUCCUCCAAGGCUAAAUACUCCUGACUGACCGAUAGUGAACCAGUACCGUGAGGGAAAGGCGAAAAGAACCCCGGCGAGGGGAGUGAAAAAGAACCUGAAACCGUGUACGUACAAGCAGUGGGAGCCUCUUAAUGGGGUGACUGCGUACCUUUUGUAUAAUGGGUCAGCGACUUAUAUUCUGUAGCAAGGUUAACCGAAUAGGGGAGCCGAAGGGAAACCGAGUCUUAACUGGGCGUUAAGUUGCAGGGUAUAGACCCGAAACCCGGUGAUCUAGCCAUGGGCAGGUUGAAGGUUGGGUAACACUAACUGGAGGACCGAACCGACUAAUGUUGAAAAAUUAGCGGAUGACUUGUGGCUGGGGGUGAAAGGCCAAUCAAACCGGGAGAUAGCUGGUUCUCCCCGAAAGCUAUUUAGGUAGCGCCUCGUGAAUUCAUCUCCGGGGGUAGAGCACUGUUUCGGCAAGGGGGUCAUCCCGACUUACCAACCCGAUGCAAACUGCGAAUACCGGAGAAUGUUAUCACGGGAGACACACGGCGUGUGCUAACGUCCGUCGUGAAGAGGGAAACAACCCAGACCGCCAGCUAAGGUCCCAAAGUCAUGGUUAAGUGGGAAACGAUGUGGGAAGGCCCAGACAGCCAGGAUGUUGGCUUAGAAGCAGCCAUCAUUUAAAGAAAGCGUAAUAGCUCACUGGUCGAGUCGGCCUGCGCGGAAGAUGUAACGGGGCUAAACCAUGCACCGAAGCUGCGGCAGCGACGCUUAUGCGUUGUUGGGUAGGGGAGCGUUCUGUAAGCCUGUGAAGGUGUGCUGUGAGACAUGCUGGAGGUAUCAGAAGUGCGAAUGCUGACAUAAGUAACGAUAAAGCGGGUGAAAAGCCCGCUCGCCGGAAGACCAAGGGUUCCUGUCCAACGUUAAUCGGGGCAGGGUGAGUCGACCCCUAAGGCGAGGCCGAAAGGCGUAGUCGAUGGGAAACAGGUUAAUAUUCCUGUACUUGGUGUUACUGCGAAGGGGGGACGGAGAAGGCUAUGUUGGCCGGGCGACGGUUGUCCCGGUUUAAGCGUGUAGGCUGGUUUUCCAGGCAAAUCCGGAAAACCAAGGCUGAGGCGUGAUGACGAGGCACUACGGUGCUGAAGCGACAAAUGCCCUGCUUCCAGGAAAAGCCUCUAAGCAUCAGGUAACAUCAAAUCGUACCCCAAACCGACACAGGUGGUCAGGUAGAGAAUACCAAGGCGCUUGAGAGAACUCGGGUGAAGGAACUAGGCAAAAUGGUGCCGUAACUUCGGGAGAAGGCACGCUGAUAUGUAGGUGAAGCGACUUGCUCGUGGAGCUGAAAUCAGUCGAAGAUACAAGCUGGCUGCAACUGUUUAUUAAAAACACAGCACUGUGCAAACACGAAAGUGGACGUAUACGGUGUGACGCCUGCCCGGUGCCGGAAGGUUAAUUGAUGGGGUUAGCGGCAACGCGAAGCUCUUGAUCGAAGCCCCGGUAAACGGCGGCCGUAACUAUAACGGUCCUAAGGUAGCGAAAUUCCUUGUCGGGUAAGUUCCGACCUGCACGAAUGGCGUAAUGAUGGCCAGGCUGUCUCCACCCGAGACUCAGUGAAAUUGAACUCGCUGUGAAGAUGCAGUGUACCCGCGGCAAGACGGAAAGACCCCGUGAACCUUUACUAUAGCUUGACACUGAACAUUGAGCCUUGAUGUGUAGGAUAGGUGGGAGGCUUUGAAGUGUGGACGCCAGUCUGCAUGGAGCCGACCUUGAAAUACCACCCUUUAAUGUUUGAUGUUCUAACGUUGGCCCCUAAUCGGGGUUGCGGACAGUGUCUGGUGGGUAGUUUGACUGGGGCGGUCUCCUCCUAAAGAGUAACGGAGGAGCACGAAGGUUGGCUAAUCCUGGUCGGACAUCAGGAGGUUAGUGCAAUGGCAUAAGCCAGCUUGACUGCGAGCGUGACGGCGCGAGCAGGUGCGAAAGCAGGUCAUAGUGAUCCGGUGGUUCUGAAUGGAAGGGCCAUCGCUCAACGGAUAAAAGGUACUCCGGGGAUAACAGGCUGAUACCGCCCAAGAGUUCAUAUCGACGGCGGUGUUUGGCACCUCGAUGUCGGCUCAUCACAUCCUGGGGCUGAAGUAGGUCCCAAGGGUAUGGCUGUUCGCCAUUUAAAGUGGUACGCGAGCUGGGUUUAGAACGUCGUGAGACAGUUCGGUCCCUAUCUGCCGUGGGCGCUGGAGAACUGAGGGGGGCUGCUCCUAGUACGAGAGGACCGGAGUGGACGCAUCACUGGUGUUCGGGUUGUCAUGCCAAUGGCACUGCCCGGUAGCUAAAUGCGGAAGAGAUAAGUGCUGAAAGCAUCUAAGCACGAAACUUGCCCCGAGAUGAGUUCUCCCUGAGACUUAGAGUCUCCUGAAGGAACGUUGAAGACGACGACGUUGAUAGGCCGGGUGUGUAAGCGCAGCGAUGCGUUGAGCUAACCGGUACUAAUGAACCGUGAGGCUUAACCUU
Molecule: ribosomal RNA, 2903 nt
Filed under: Escherichia coli
Lineage: Bacteria; Pseudomonadati; Pseudomonadota; Gammaproteobacteria; Enterobacterales; Enterobacteriaceae
Description: bacterial LSU rRNA
Rfam family: Bacterial large subunit ribosomal RNA
Source: RNAcentral